This 126-nucleotide non-coding RNA is filed under the name Chromera velia. The record is from RNAcentral. Lineage: Eukaryota; Chromeraceae.
AGACAGAUUUGAUGGAUUUGAAUUGCCCUUUUGGUUGUUUAUUUCUGUACUGCUUUUUCAUGUUCGAAGGGACAGAGAGGAAUCGUUAGGGAAUGCGGCAUAUGUUGAAAAGAAAAGAAAAGAAAA